RNAcentral lists this transfer RNA (74 nucleotides) under Trichonephila inaurata madagascariensis. RNAcentral describes it as "tRNA-Ile". Lineage: Eukaryota; Metazoa; Arthropoda; Arachnida; Araneae; Nephilidae. The record is from RNAcentral.
ACCUCACCCGGUAUGGUGGUUAUGACAUUUGGCUUAUAAUCGAGUGGGUUCGGGUUGGAAUCCCGAGUAAGGUA